UAAGGGGCCUUGAAAAUGAUCAGUUAUGAUUAGCAUCUUUAUUAUCGUAAUCUAUAUUCCAAGGUGAUUUUUUACUUUUGAUACCAUUGUCUCUCCCAACUUUUGUAGAGACUUUCUUUGCCUUGCAUACAGAAGAGAACUAGCUAAUGGAGGAUAUGCAUACCUGACUUUUUUUCCUCUCCGAAGAAAGGAGAAUUCAUCCACUGCCACUGUACCUUUUUUCUUUUGUUUUUUGUCUUGCACAGAAGACUGGCAUCUCCCUGUGAAGGGCUUGUGGCAAAUCUGUCCAACUCCGUUUCUUCCUCCCUGAGAAUGAUCUGAUCCAUCAUCACCUGAACCAGGGAUCACACUCUAAGGGUCCAGGUAUAUGCCCGUAUGUCAGAAGUCUUAGGAAUAACAGAUGACAACCACGUUCUAGAAACAUUCAUGACGAAAAUUGUUACAAACCUUAAAUACUGGGGAAGAUGUGAACCCGUAAUUUCAAGGACUCUUCAGUUCCUAAAUGAC
This is a long non-coding RNA of Loxodonta africana (African savanna elephant), 507 nucleotides long. RefSeq lists it as uncharacterized. Lineage: Eukaryota; Metazoa; Chordata; Mammalia; Proboscidea; Elephantidae. The record is from RefSeq and is a predicted model, not a curated record. The transcript has 3 exons.